CCUACGGGAGGCAGCAGUGGGGAAUAUUGGACAAUGGGCUAAAGCCUGAUCCAGCAAUGCCGCGUGUGUGAAGAAGGUCUUCGGAUUGUAAAGCACUUUCGACGGGGACGAUGAUGACGGUACCCGUAGAAGAAGCCCCGGCUAACUUCGUGCCAGCAGCCGCGGUAAU
This 169-nucleotide ribosomal RNA is filed under the name uncultured Asaia sp. Its description in RNAcentral is "partial 16S ribosomal RNA". It matches the Rfam family "Bacterial small subunit ribosomal RNA", at positions 338 to 524 of the family's 1533-position model. Lineage: Bacteria; Pseudomonadati; Pseudomonadota; Alphaproteobacteria; Acetobacterales; Acetobacteraceae. The record is from RNAcentral.